This 973-nucleotide ribosomal RNA is filed under the name Cloacimonetes bacterium enrichment culture clone HB1_30. Its description in RNAcentral is "bacterial SSU rRNA". It matches the Rfam family "Bacterial small subunit ribosomal RNA", at positions 8 to 916 of the family's 1533-position model. The record is from RNAcentral. Lineage: Bacteria; Pseudomonadati; Candidatus Cloacimonadota.
AGAGUUUGAUCCUGGCUCAGGACGAACGCUGGCGGCGUGGAUUAGGCAUGCAAGUCGAACGGUAUAAACCUUUCGGGGUUUAGAGAGUGGCGAACGGGUGAGUAACACGUAGGUAAUCUACCCUCAAAACGGGGACAACCCAGGGAAACUUGGGCUAAUACCGGAUGCGUGCAAGCAAUGUUUUGGCUGUUAAUGCUAUUCACGGAAGUGAGUAGUGUUAAUGGUUGAGAGCAUUAUUUGCAUAAAAGGUGGCAUAUGCUGCCGUUUGAGGAUGAGCCUGCGUCCUAUUAGUUAGUUGGUGAGGUAAUGGCUUACCAAGGCGAUGAUAGGUAGGCGGCCUUAACGGGUGGUCGCCCACACUGGGAUUGAGAGACGGCCCAGACUCCUACGGGAGGCAGCAGUCGAGAAUAGUCUACAAUGGACGGAAGUCUGAUAGUGCGACGCCGCGUGAACGAAGAAUCCCUUCGGGGUGUAAAGUUCUUUUAUACGUGAGCAGUGCCCUUUAUAUGAAUAGUAUAGAGGGAGGGAUUUAAGCGUAUGAAUAAGCAACGGCUAACUCCGUGCCAGCAGCCGCGGUAACACGGGGGUUGCAAGCGUUGUCCGGGAAUUACUAGGCGUAAAGUGCAGGUAGGCGGAUAGAUAAGUUUAAGGUUAAAGGCUACGGGCUUACCCGUAGUAAGGCGUUAGAUACUGUUUAUCUGGAAUGCGGUUGAGGGAGACAGAAUUCCUGGUGUAGCGGUGGAUGCGCAGAGAUCAGGAGGAAUACCGAAGGCGAGGCAGUCUUCUAAGCCGAUAUUGACGCUAAACUGCGAAGGUGUGGGGAUCAAACAGGGAUUAAAUACCCUGGGUAGUCCACACAGUAACGAUAAUCAACUAGGUGUUGGGGUUCGUAUAGGACUCGGUGCCGGAGCUAACGCGAUAAUUGAUUCGCUGUGGAGUACGAUCGCAGGGUUGAAACUCAAAGGAUUGACGA